GAAGAAUCCAACCGUGUUGCGUCUUCCUUGCCGGACGAGCCUGCUGCGGAUGGGUCCCUCCUCCUGCAAAAACAGAAAUGUAGAUAUUACGGUCACCACGGUUGUUCCAUCACCAUGAAGAGGUGACAUCAUAACGUGCAAUACAUCUGACCACAGCUUGAACAUUCCACAGGACGAGAAGAGCAUCGCAACCAGUUCCAAUUGUGAGCGGCCUCCGCAUUUCCAGACUUAAUGCCGUAGGUGCAGAGAAUCUUCCUGACUUGAAAACUGAGACACCCUCAUUCCGUCAGAGCCUCAAGAGCCAGUGUCCACAUCCUGAGCCUUCCUACCUCUGUGGCCCAAUUCUUGAAGCUUCCUUCUUUGGCAACCAUUUCUGGUGGGACAGCUUUUCGGAUCUGGUCACAGCAUCCGUACCGCUCACUGGAUAGUAUGCUUGCUUUUCCCCUUGAAUAAAACAGCCGAUCUGAGGACUGGAGAGAUGCUCACUUGUGCAAACACCAGAGCCUAUGUGAUGAUAGCCAGAUGUGACACAGGCAAAUGCUGGUCUUGGUCUGAGGUUGUUGUUUCCUGACCACUGAGUCUCAGACCAGGCCAGCAAACUCCAAAUAAGAAAUGGAGCUGCAGAUUCUCUGGCUUCAUUCAAGUUGCCUAAGGGGAGGCGCCAGGAGCUAUGGUUUGUUUUGUUUAUUAAAUGUAUCACUUAUUAAAUUUAUUGAAGGGCACGUGCAUGCCCCAGAGCCAUCUUGCUGGCCCCACCAGGGGCUAUGGAUUUAACCAACUUCCUCAAGUGGUUUCGUUUUGCAGCAAGACUUGAGGCACACUUGGAGAAGAGAUGGGCUUCUUAUUGGCCUGCUAAGACAGAAGGAAGGAAAGGAGAAAGAGGAGGAACUAAAAGGCAGGGGUCAGAGGCAGACAUGUUUGUUGUUCAAUACUGGGGGCUGCCAGUGUGUACAGGGGAAGAGAACUUACUAAAGGGACUGUGAAGCCAUGAGUAGUUGCCCCCAAGUCUCAACCUUGAAGAUAUUUCAUAUUCUCUUAAGUCCUGAGUGUCCGAGAGACACGCAACCAGAUACAAAGUGACUCUGACUUUGAUUCCAAAAGAAUUUUUUAAGGGCAGGUAGUGCUGUUUCUGUGUAUAAAAUCUGUCAUUAUGGAAACGUGUCUCAAAUAAA
RNAcentral lists this small RNA (1172 nucleotides) under Rattus norvegicus (Norway rat). RNAcentral describes it as "uncharacterized LOC108351784". Lineage: Eukaryota; Metazoa; Chordata; Mammalia; Rodentia; Muridae. The record is from RNAcentral.